This 472-nucleotide ribosomal RNA is filed under the name uncultured bacterium. RNAcentral describes it as "bacterial SSU rRNA". It matches the Rfam family "Bacterial small subunit ribosomal RNA", at positions 33 to 518 of the family's 1533-position model. The record is from RNAcentral.
ACGCUGGCGGCGUGCCUAAUACAUGCAAGUCGAACGGAGUUAGAGACUUCGGUUUUUAACUUAGUGGCGAACGGGUGAGUAACGCGUGAGCAACCUGACUCAAAGAGGGGGACAACAGCUGGAAACGGCUGCUAAUACCGCAUAAGACCACAAGGAGGCAUCUUCAAGGGGUCAAAGAAAUUCGCUUUGAGAGGGGCUCGCGUCCCAUUAGAUAGUUGGUGAGGUAACGGCCCACCAAGUCCGCGAUGGGUAGCCGAGCUGAGAGGCUGAUCGGCCACACUGGAACUGAGACACGGUCCAGACUCCUACGGGAGGCAGCAGUAGGGAAUAUUGGGCAAUGGGCGCAAGCCUGAACCCCAGCAACGCCGCGUGAGGGAAGAAGGUUUUCGGAUUGUAAACCUCUGUCCUAUGUGACGAAGGAAGUGACGGUAGCAUAGGAGGAAGCCCCGGCUAACUACGUGCCAGCCGCUGC